RNAcentral lists this unclassified non-coding RNA (344 nucleotides) under soil metagenome. Its description in RNAcentral is "partial contains 5.8S ribosomal RNA, internal transcribed spacer 2, and large subunit ribosomal RNA". The stretch from base 3 to 120 matches the Rfam family "5.8S ribosomal RNA", at positions 38 to 154 of the family's 154-position model. The record is from RNAcentral.
GAGAAGAACGCAGCGAAAUGCGAUAAGUAAUGCGAAUUGCAGAAUUUCCGUGAGUCAUCGAAUCUUUGAACGCACAUUGCGCCCACUGGUAUUCCGGUGGGCAUGCCUGUUCGAGCGUCAUUAUCCUCCCUCAAACCCCGGGUUUGGUGUUGGACCCAAGUUGUGUGAACAACUGGUCUCAAAGACAAUGACGGCGUCCGUGGGACCCUCGGUGCAACGAGCUUUUAGGAGCACGCAUCGAGUUGCAAGGACCUUCCGGGCCGGUCUCCUUUACCAUUUUACAAGGUUGACCUCGGAUCAGGUAGGAAUACCCGCUGAACUUAAGCAUAUCAAUAAGCGGAGGA